UGCAGCAGCAUAUCACCCUGCAACUCACAACUGGCAACCCACUGAAGCUAAGCAGGUGUGAGCCUGGUCAGUACCUGGAUGGGAGACCUCCUGGGAAAAACUAAGGUUGCUGCUGGAA
This is a ribosomal RNA of Lepisosteus oculatus (spotted gar), 118 nucleotides long. Lineage: Eukaryota; Metazoa; Chordata; Actinopteri; Semionotiformes; Lepisosteidae. The record is from Ensembl.